This 482-nucleotide ribosomal RNA is filed under the name uncultured bacterium. RNAcentral's name for it is "partial 16S ribosomal RNA". It matches the Rfam family "Bacterial small subunit ribosomal RNA", at positions 30 to 507 of the family's 1533-position model. The record is from RNAcentral.
AUUGAACGCUGGCGGCAUGCCUUACACAUGCAAGUCGAACGGUAACGGGCCUUCGGGUGCCGACGAGUGGCGAACGGGUGAGUAAUACAUCGGAACGUGCCCGAUCGUGGGGGAUAACGAGGCGAAAGCUUUGCUAAUACCGCAUACGAUCUACGGAUGAAAGCAGGGGACCGCAAGGCCUUGCGCGGACGGAGCGGCCGAUGGCAGAUUAGGUAGUUGGUGGGAUAAAAGCUUACCAAGCCGACGGUCUGUAGCUGGUCUGAGAGGAUGAUCAGCCACACUGGGACUGAGACACGGCCCAGACUCCUACGGGAGGCAGCAGUGGGGAAUUUUGGACAAUGGGCGCAAGCCCGAUCCAGCCAUGCCGCGUGCAGGAUGAAGGCCUUCGGGUUGUAAACUGCUUUUGUACGGAACGAAAAGCCUUCUUUUAAUACAGGAGGGUCAUGACGGUACCGUAAGAAUAAGCACCGGCUAACUACGUG